Molecule: microRNA precursor, 100 nt
Filed under: Caenorhabditis briggsae
Lineage: Eukaryota; Metazoa; Nematoda; Chromadorea; Rhabditida; Rhabditidae
Description: pre miRNA CBG29653
Rfam family: mir-75 microRNA precursor family
Source: RNAcentral
GCCAAAUCGCGAUGCACGAUUUGAAGGCGGUUGGUAGCUUUAAUAUCAAGAACCAUUGUCUGUAUUGAAGCUUGCAACCGACUGCAAUUCGGUCUCGCAG